UACGUAGGGGGCAAGCGUUGUCCGGAUUUAUUGGGCGUAAAGAGCUCGUAGGUGGUUCGGUAAGUCGGAUGUGAAAUCUCCAGGCUCAACCUGGAGGGGUCAUUCGAUACUGCCGUGACUAGAGUUCGGUAGGGGAGUGUGGAAUUCCUGGUGGAGCGGUGAAAUGCGCAGAUAUCGGGAAGAACACCCGUGGCGAAGGCGGCUCUCUGGGACGGUACUGACGCUGAGACGCGAAAGCGUGGGGAGCGAACAGG
This 254-nucleotide ribosomal RNA is filed under the name uncultured bacterium. RNAcentral describes it as "partial 16S ribosomal RNA". It matches the Rfam family "Bacterial small subunit ribosomal RNA", at positions 524 to 776 of the family's 1533-position model. The record is from RNAcentral.